Molecule: ribosomal RNA, 417 nt
Filed under: uncultured bacterium
Lineage: Bacteria
Description: partial 16S ribosomal RNA
Rfam family: Bacterial small subunit ribosomal RNA
Source: RNAcentral
UGGGGAAUAUUGCACAAUGGGCGCAAGCCUGAUGCAGCAACGCCGCGUGAGGGACGACGGCCUUCGGGUUGUAAACCUCUUUUAGUAGGGAAGAAGCGAAAGUGACGGUACCUGCAGAAAAAGCACCGGCUAACUACGUGCCAGCAGCCGCGGUAAUACGUAGGGUGCGAGCGUUGUCCGGAAUUAUUGGGCGUAAAGAGCUCGUAGGCGGUCUGUCGCGUCUGCUGUGAAAACCCGAGGCUCAACCUCGGGCCCUGCAGUGGGUACGGGCAGACUAGAGUGCGGUAGGGGAGAAUGGAAUUCCUGGUGUAGCGGUGGAAUGCGCAGAUAUCAGGAGGAACACCGAUGGCGAAGGCAGUUCUCUGGGCCGUAACUGACGCUGAGGAGCGAAAGCGUGGGGAGCGAACAGGAUUAGAU